GAUGAACGCUGGCGGCGUGCCUAAUACAUGCAAGUAGAACGCUGAAGGAGGAGCUUGCUCUUCUGGAUGAGUUGCGAACGGGUGAGUAACGCGUAGGUAACCUGCCUGGUAGCGGGGGAUAACUAUUGGAAACGAUAGCUAAUACCGCAUGACAACAGUUAUUGCAUGAUAACUGUUUAAAAGGGGCAACUGCUCCACUACCAGAUGGACCUGCGUUGUAUUAGCUAGUUGGUGAGGUAACGGCUCACCAAGGCGACGAUACAUAGCCGACCUGAGAGGGUGAUCGGCCACACUGGGACUGAGACACGGCCCAGACUCCUACGGGAGGCAGCAGUAGGGAAUCUUCGGCAAUAGACGGAAGGCUGACCGAGCAACGCCGCGUGAGUGAAGAAGGUUUUCGGAUCGUAAAGCUCUGUUGUAAGAGAAGAACGAGUGUGAGAGUGGAAAGUUCACACUGUGACGGUAUCUUACCAGAAAGGGACGGCUAACUACGUG
RNAcentral lists this ribosomal RNA (495 nucleotides) under uncultured bacterium. Its description in RNAcentral is "partial 16S ribosomal RNA". It matches the Rfam family "Bacterial small subunit ribosomal RNA", at positions 28 to 507 of the family's 1533-position model. The record is from RNAcentral.